CUUCUCGUGUGUGGUUAUCCCUAAUUCACUACCAUUUAGUGUGUAAGUUGCUUGUGCAUUCUUAAUCCCGAAGUGCAUAACUUUGCAUUUCUCUAUGUUAAAUUUCAUCUGCCAUUUUAGUGCCCAGUCCCCUAAUCUAUCCAAAUCUCUCUGCAGCAAAGCAAUAUCCUGCUCACAUUUUAUUAUUUUACAAAGUUUUGUGUCAUCUGCAAACACUGAUACAUGACUUUCAAUUUUUUAGUUUGAAGACUAACCUAUUGUGAGGACCCGUAUCAAAUGCCUUGGCAAAAUCCAAGUAGAUCACAUCCACUGUAACACCCUGAUCUAUACUUCUACUUACUUCUUCGUAGAAUGCAAUUAGGUUAGUUUGACAUGACCUAUGUUUCAUAAAACCAUGCUGAUUAUUGCUAAUAACAAAGUUCUUCCCAAUGAAUUCCUGAAUAUUAUCCCUUAAUAGCCCUUCAAAUAUUUUCCCAGUUACAGAAGUUAAGCUCACAGGUCUAUAAUUUCCAGGCAAGGAUUUUGAGCCCUUUUUAAAUAUAGGAAAAACAUCUGCCUUCCUCCAAUCCUCCGGUACAACACCUGAAACAAAAGAAUCUUGAAAAAUUAAAUACAUAGGUUCGCUUAUUUCCCCACUUAGCUCCUUAAGUACUCAUGGGUGAAUAACAUCAGGCCCCGGGGCUUUAUUUACAUUAAUUUUCUUUAAUAGCUGUAGCACCUUGUCUCGAGUUAUCCAAUCACAAGUUAUUUGCAAGUUUUUUGCAGCAAUCAUUUGCAUAUCUCUUGCCAUAGGAUCCUCAUUAAUAUAUACUGAAGAAAAAUAGUUAUUUAAAAUGUCUGCUUUUUCCUGGUCUUCAUUAGCUAAUAAACCCAACUCUGUUUCAAAUGUAC
This is a non-coding RNA of Pelobates cultripes (western spadefoot toad), 891 nucleotides long. The record is from the annotation of a GenBank genome assembly. Lineage: Eukaryota; Metazoa; Chordata; Amphibia; Anura; Pelobatidae.